UACGUAGGGACCAAGCGUUGUCCGGAUUUAUCGUGGCGUAAAGAGCUCGUAGGCGGCUUGUCGCGUCGUCCGUGAAAACUCACAGCUCAACUGUGAGCUUGCGGUCGAUACGGGCAGGCUAGAGUUCGGUAGGGGGAGACUGGAAUUCCAGGGUGUAGCGGUGAAAUGCGUAGAUAUCUGGAGGAACACCGGUGGCGAAGGCGGCGAUCCUGGACCGGGAUGACAC
RNAcentral lists this ribosomal RNA (226 nucleotides) under uncultured bacterium. RNAcentral's name for it is "partial 16S ribosomal RNA". It matches the Rfam family "Bacterial small subunit ribosomal RNA", at positions 524 to 746 of the family's 1533-position model. The record is from RNAcentral.